RNAcentral lists this transfer RNA (75 nucleotides) under Aeropyrum sp. Its description in RNAcentral is "tRNA-Val". It matches the Rfam family "tRNA". From Rfam's summary of the family: Transfer RNA (tRNA) molecules are approximately 80 nucleotides in length. Their secondary structure includes four short double-helical elements and three loops (D, anti-codon, and T loops). Lineage: Archaea; Thermoproteati; Thermoproteota; Thermoprotei; Acidilobales; Acidilobaceae. RNAcentral also lists the same sequence under 1 other name. The record is from RNAcentral.
GGGCCCGUCGUCUAGCCUGGUUAGGACGCCGCCCUUACACGGCGGAGGUCCGGGGUUCGAGUCCCCGCGGGCCCA